RNAcentral lists this ribosomal RNA (484 nucleotides) under uncultured bacterium. RNAcentral describes it as "partial 16S ribosomal RNA". It matches the Rfam family "Bacterial small subunit ribosomal RNA", at positions 30 to 507 of the family's 1533-position model. The record is from RNAcentral.
AUUGAACGCUGGCGGCAGGCCUAACACAUGCAAGUCGAGCGGAUGAAUGGAGCUUGCUCCUGGAUUCAGCGGCGGACGGGUGAGUAAUGCCUAUGAAUCUGCCUGGUAGUGGGGGAUAACGUCCGGAAACGGGCGCUAAUACCGCAUACGUCCUGUGGGAGAAAGUGGGGGAUCUUCGGACCUCACGCUAUCAGAUGAGCCUAGGUCGGAUUAGCUAGUUGGUGGGGUAAAGGCCUACCAAGGCGACGAUCCGUAACUGGUCUGAGAGGAUGAUCAGUCACACUGGAACUGAGAAACGGUCCAGACUCCUACGCGAGGCAGCAGUGGGGAAUAUUGGACAAUGGGGCAAAGCCUGAUCCAGGCAUGCCGCGUGUGUGAAGAAGGUCUUCGGAUUGUAAAGCACUUUAAGUUGGGGGGAAGGACAGUAAGUUAAUCCCUUGCUAUUUUGACGUUACCAGCAGAAUAAGCACCGGCUAACUUCGUG